RNAcentral lists this ribosomal RNA (497 nucleotides) under uncultured bacterium. RNAcentral describes it as "partial 16S ribosomal RNA". It matches the Rfam family "Bacterial small subunit ribosomal RNA", at positions 28 to 507 of the family's 1533-position model. The record is from RNAcentral.
GAUGAACGCUGGCGGCGUGCCUAAUACAUGCAAGUCGAGCGAACGGACGAGACGCUUGCUUCUCUGAUGUUAGCGGCGGACGGGUGAGUAACACGUGGAUCACCUACCUAUCAGACUGGGAUCACUUCGGGAAACCGGCGCUAAUCCCGUAUGAUCUUUUGCUCCGCAUGGUUCAAAAGUGAAAGACGGUCUUGCUGUCACUUCUCGAUGCAUCCGCGCUGCAUUAGCUAGUUGUUAAGGUAACGGCUUACCAAGGCAACGAUGCCUAGCCGACCUGACAGGGGGAUAGCACACACGAGAACUGAGACGCGGUCAAGACUACUAAGGGAGGCAGCAGAAGGGAAUCGGACGCAGUGGGCGAGAACAUGACGGAGCAACGCGGCGUGAGAGAUGAAGGUGUUCGGGUCGGAAAAAUCUGUUACUAGGGAAGAACAGAUGUGGAAGGAAAUGUGCAGAGAGUGACGGUACCUAAUAAGAAAGCAACGGCUAACUACGUG